This 1435-nucleotide long non-coding RNA is filed under the name Serinus canaria (Common canary). RNAcentral describes it as "lncRNA (ENSSCAG00000004928.1)". Lineage: Eukaryota; Metazoa; Chordata; Aves; Passeriformes; Fringillidae. The record is from RNAcentral.
UACAAUGGCAUUUGAUCAGUUUAUGAUGUGAUUGCCUGCACCAGCAGGGGACGAGGCAGGCGUGCUCACUGUCUGGCUGGGAGGACAGGCUGUUGCAGAAGCACUGCACAAGCCUUAGGAAGAGCUGGGUAAUGACUGACCACCAAGAGGGGUUUUAGCAAAGUUUUCCUCUGGGUGGCACUUGGUAAACAUGGAUAUUUGCUUCUUCAAGGUGCAUGUGGAAGGCAUCAGGAUAUUCAAAUGUAGGAAUAUUUUGUGACUUUUCUGUUGGUUUUAAUAAGGAAAAUUGCUUUUAGAACCAGUUAUUUAAUUAACUUUCUAAUAAGGACUUAAGUUUUACACACCUGGGCUGGCGAAAUAUGGUGGUCUUGGGUCUCAGUCUGUUGGUUUAAGUCACCCAAAGCCCAUGUCAAUGCCUGCAGUAGAUGAUGUACUCCUCUAGCCUGUUUCUGUGUGUUUUGAGCAAGGAACUUUCACCAGGAGGUUUAAACUGACAAGUCAAAGCUUGAGUUUCCUAAACUCUUCUGCAAUAGUAGAUCAAUUUUAGCCUCUAAAGGAAACCUUAGUGCUGCAGGCAACUUACUCCUGUUCCUUUCUCACAGCACUUAGCUAUGGCACAGAAAGGUACCAUCUUUGUGGGUAAGGGAGGCUGCAAAGCUUUUGCUAUCAAUAGCACAGUUUAUUAUGUGAUUUGUAGUCUAAUUUCUACCUAACAGAACUCACAGUUGUGGCACGGCUGCUAAAGUAAAUUUUCAUUUGCUCUUCUUGAAUCCACUGAAGUGCUGGGCAGUAAAACCUCCAGUCUGAUGCACAUCCUCCCAUCAGUGUGUGUCCCUGGAGCUCAUCACUUGAUGCUGAUCAGACUGAAAGGCUGUGUAAAACUUGGAUCAAGAAACUCAUAUAAUUCCUUUCCCAGUCCAUUCUUGGACCAUCACAAGAACUUUCAGGGCUCUGACACAGCUGGGAUGAAGCUUCUCCAAUGGACAUUUCUCCAUCUGACUCUGGUGCCAGCCUUGAUACACAGCUCUGAAAAUCAAGGGAAAAUGUUCUUCACCUGGCUCAGCUGCACAGAGAGAAACAGUCCCAUCAUCACACUUCCUACAGAGAUCUGCUGGUUCUUGACCAAGCAGGAAUACAUACAAAGAGUUAAGAAGGACUGAAUGUGGUGUGAUUUGUGGUCUUAAAAAAUAAUUCCCAGGAGUUCUGUAGAACCUAUCCCCACUCAUCAUACUCAGCCUAUUAGUGAAGCAAAUCCUUCAUUCAACAUGUGACACUUAAAAGACUGUUGAGUUGAAAUUUGAUGUGAACAUUCAAUAAGUUGUUUGUUUGUUUCUUUCUUACUUUAUCACAAGAUAUUCACCCACAUCUUAUACAGCAGAAUUGUGAGAUGCCUACAGAGAGGUUGUAAACAGAGCAUGAAAAUAUAUGAUGUAAG